Lycium barbarum (goji berry) is the source of this 4579-nucleotide long non-coding RNA. RefSeq lists it as uncharacterized. The transcript is spliced from 2 exons. The record is from RefSeq and is a predicted model, not a curated record. NCBI's taxonomy places the organism in Eukaryota, Viridiplantae, Streptophyta, Magnoliopsida, Solanales, Solanaceae.
GUUUGUCUACAAUCCCUUCCUUUAUUUCCUUAUGUUAUUAUUACAUUAUAACUUUGAACUGCACAGGUAUCUUUACAUUUUUUGCAGAUGAACACAAUACAAUGUGGAACUAUCUCUGCCACAGCGAACUGAGGUGCCCCGCUUGAUAAGGACAUCAAACUCACAAGCUAGAGUCAAUGAAUCCGCUCUUCGCUUUAGCUCGCCAACCAGUUUUUCUUUCAAUUUUGUUUUAAGAAGUCACUUCUUUUGAGAAUCUACAUUCUAGAAACACAUGCAAAUUCUUCCGCAUCCUAAGGUCGCCAUAAUGCGAUACUAGGACAAUUCUAAGGGUCAGUCCCCUACAACGAGCUGAUAUGAUCUAUGACAGCACAUAGAUGCAUUCGUGUAGAGUCUCGAUUAUGGGUGUGUUGCGGCCGCCACAUUUAUAAUCAAGAAGCUGCAAAAGUACAUCCCGUCAUCAGAAAGACCUUCUUCAACAGCAAUCUUUCCCAAAAUUUGACCACAUCUUCCUAACAACAUCUAGUGUCACCAUAAUUCGACAGUCGGACAAAAUUUUUGAGAUAUAUCCUUCAAAAUUUUCUAUCUUCUCGUUUUCUUUGAAACACAUCUGAAUUAAUUCUCGUUCUCUUCAACAUGUAGGGAACUCAAAGUCAAGCCAGUCAUAUUCCAUGUUAGCUAUUUUCGCUCGUGCUGAAACUACAAUCCUUUCCAUCUCCAGAACCUCGUGUUACCAUAACUACAACACUGGGACAAAUUUUUUAGGAUCAUUCAAAAAAUUUCAACAACUCGACCUUCCAAAUCCCCAACAAAAUUAUCAUUCCCCUGUCUAUAACAACAAAGCCAGUGUCCUCAUAAUUCAGACACUGAGGCGAAUUUUGGAGACCUCUCCAAAUUUUACCAUAUCCUUGUUUGAACUACAUCGACAUGAUUUUCUUAUGGCCCGAGAUAUGUAGGCUACUCAGGAACCAGAAGUUCGGUCGAAUUCAUAAACCCGCCUCUCGAGUCCCAAAAAAUUACUCUUUUUCAGUUGUCUCUUCCCAAACCAAAUCUGAUUUACUCGUCGGGGCAAAAUUGAGUUUAUGUCAACGUCUUUUCCCAAAGACUCUUUCAUCAUCCCUGGUCGAAGAGGGACAAGCUGUUGACACCCAAUUUUAGCCCUCCUUUUUUAUUUUAUUAAUUUCACUAUGCUUCUCAGUCGUGAAAAUUCCCCGAAAAUGAGUUUGGAAUAUUUUCGCUAAUUAUCACACUAUUUUUCGAGAUAUAUUUUGCUAAAACCAAGAACAUUUUUAUGGUCUCUUAAAAAUGACCAAACAUCAUAUUUUCUAAUUGGAAAGGAUGAAAUUUUUUAUAAUUAAAAUCAUUCAACAGAAAAAUAAUAAUGUUGAUAUUCGUAUAUCAACAUUGGCAUUGACAUUUUUCCCUUUAAUCCUGCUUAUUACCGUAUUAGUCAUCUUUUACUCUAUUUUUAAAUUAAGUACGUAUAUUAAAUUACUGGUAUUAUAAUUUAUAUAGGUGUAUAUAUUUUUGGAAACUAAUUGAGACAAAGAAGCAUAUUUUUAAUUGAUUGAAAUAGAGGGGGCUUAGAAAUUAAUUCAUCUACCCAAAGAUAUUGGGCCAUCUCACUAAACCAAAUCAGCAGCCCAAUAUCCCCCUCAACCGCCCCAGCCCAAUUCUCGCCGACCCGGCCCAAAACCACCUAAAAAUCAGCCUAACCAAACAAAAUCCCUAACUAUUUUUCCAUCCCAACCAAACGAUCCCCUAACUCUUUUCCCCUUCAACCAACAGUUAACCAAACGACGCCGCCAUCCCACCCCGUCACGUCACUUCCAUCACCUCGUCAGCACUACCACACCGUCGGACCGCUGGGUUAACGUGGUCAGCGACGCCACUGGCCUCACAGGUCACCUUUUCUCCCGUCACCCAUCUCCCUUUUUCUGAAAUGGAGCUUGACGACUCGUAAAAAGGUCGAUUGAGACCUCUGAGAACGAGAAAGAGCAAAUCCCCAGCCAUCAAACCCAUCUGAAAAGUUCUCGGCUGAAACAACAAGCUUUCAAGUGGAUUCGGAGACUCGACGACGACGAUAGCCUUAGUUCGCUGUCACAGAGAAGGUAAUCACAUUCGCCCUAUCUUCGUCUUUAAUUUUAUAAGAAGUAGAAAUGUAGUCGUUCAAGUAUUUCUCGUCGUUUAUUUGGUUUAGUUGGCUGCUGGAAUAUGUGUUCUCCUCAUUUGUUGUAAAUUAGCGUGAAACGACUAAUUUCGUCGAAUAUGUGUUUAACUCCCGUCGCCCCGUCGCUGCCGUUAAAAGCUAACAUUUGAACCCCAUUUUAUUCCUAUCGUUCAUUUUCGCAUUAUCAAAUAAGUGUUUAUUUUGGUUUGUUUUCAGAAGAUUUAUUUUAAAUAAGUAGCUUAAUGUUGGUAGAAAAAUGGUUGCUCCCAUAUUUGGUAGAAGUGACUAUAGCUUGAAAGGAUUAUUUCCUACAUUUUAAGGGCUGAAAGACGCCAUCUCUUUUAGUAAAUUUGUUGUUGCUAGUUGGCCUGAAAGAGGCUGCAGUUUUGUGAAACAAAUUGCUACAUUUCACCAAAAAUGGGUUGUUUGUGUUACUGAGAAGCUAGAUAUUUUGAAGCUUGAAAUAUGGCCAAGCUGUUUAACCUACCACUAGUAGUUGUUAUUGUUACUCUUGAACAGAUUUGCUGCGUUACUGAGCUAAAUUUUGGCUUCAAUUUAAGGUUAUCUUGUUGUCUCUGCUGAACUUAAGAAAAGUUACUGUUUUGACAUAAAAGAAGGCUACCGUUUUUUUUUUACUAAAAAGUUACUGUUUUCUAGUCAAAAAGUUACUAUUUUGAUUAAAAAAAAACUAUUGUUUUGAGUAUGUAAAAGUUACUAGUCUUGAAAGGAAAAUUUACCGAUUCGUGAAAUUUAAAUUCGUCAAAUCUGUGUUUGACUUCAUCGUUUGGGUUAAUUUCUCUAUUUUGCGAGUCUCCCUCGUUAUAUGGCUAACUAAGUUAGUAAUCAUCUUUGUCCUCGUCUUACAUUUUAUUUUCGGGUUAUCAAACUAAAAAGAAAACGUAGUGAUAUUUCUUAUUUAUUUCGAAUGUAAUCUUCCUUUCUCGUCUUGGUUCUAUUUAUCUCGAAUCUUUCCGUAAUUAAGAGUGAUUUGGUUUGUUAAAUGUUAGGUUGCUGAUUUGGAAGUAUUAUUUUCCCCUUUGUCCUAGCAUUUUAUCUUUUGUUCUGUUAUUCCAAGAUUCAUGUGGAGUGUCUAGUUGCAAUCGUGUUAGAGUUAAGUAAUUAGUUUAAUUUCCCUUCAUGUGUUAAGUGUGCUUGCUAUUUGUCUCAGUUUAAGUUAGAUCAGGUUCAAUGUUUAAAAAUUGAGAUUAAUGUACGUGUUUAAGAUUGUACACUGUUUUGGUUGCUGCCCACUGCUGCUGCGUUUUUUGGACCAAAACAAUUUCCAUCAUAUUAGUUGCUGCCCACUGCUGCUGAAUUUUUUUGGGCCAAAAAAAAAUUGCUACUUUGCUGCGCUCGGUUGCUGAUUUCUGAUGGAACGUUUGGCUAUGUUCUUGGCCCACCGUAAUUACUUUUCUAAGGCAGUGUUGCUACACUAUAAGGGUACUUCGUUGCUUCCUUUGAGGGCAGAUUCCUACUGCUUUUGAAUGGGUUGAUUGAUGUGUUCUCAGUCACAUCUUUCGUUAAAAAUGGUUGUUUGUUGUCUUGUUUGAUGAGCUACUAUUUUUGCUAAAAAUAACAAAUGCCACACCUGAUAAGCUUGCUGCACUUUAGAAUAAGACAGAUGUUGUUUUUCCUGAGGCUAAAUGCAUACUAUUUUGGGCAUUUUGUGGCUGAAAUGAGUUUGCAUUCUUCAGACAGUUUGGAUUAAUUGUUAUCAUAUCUUGAGCUGCUCCAUUCCUGGAUUCCUUACUGGUAUAUCAUGUACUGUUGCUAUGCUCUUAAAAUGCUACAUUUUGAGCGAGAUUGUUUACUGUACCUGGGGUAAAAUUGUGUUUCAUCCAAAUCUACUUUGCUGCUAUGGCACUUGGCCAUUGUGUUGUUGCAAUUUGAUAAACUUACUACUGCUCCAUCCCUUUAUUUUAAUAAUAUAAGCUUGUCUUUCAGCUCCUCUUUUAUCCCUUGCGUUCAAUGUUUUCCUUUCUAUCACUAAGAGAAUAACUGAAACAUCCAAUCCUUUUUUAAGUUAACAAUGCGUAAUGUCUCGAAAUUUGAUUGCCUUACAAUUUAUAUUGCUUCUAAUCCUUUUCUUUCUUUUGUUUUCUUUGCGUAUGUACGUGGGAGUAUAUUGGAGUUGUAUGACAACUCCAAAUCUGCCCAGGUCAUAGGAGCAGGCAGCCAGCAGAUUUAUUUGCUCGUGUCUAACAGUCUUUGCUCGCGUCUAGCCGUCCCCGAUCUCUCUCGUGUCUUAUGUUUCGACGCCUUCUUUCCUCUCUUCAAAGUUUUAUGUCUUUGUAUUGAUGUGUCGUUACAUAUUUUACUAACAUUUUGUGAGUUUUGUAUUUGCAGUAUUUAUUUCUUGUUUUGGGCGUGAAUUCUCAAGAAUGGUUAAGAAGAAUAGUUUGCUUAAUGUCU